CGGGAUCUCACAGGAUUCUGGCAUCUCCAACAUCUUGGGAUCUCCAACACAAUCCAGGCUUGGCUCUCACAACUUCAUGUAUGGUUUCUCUGGGCUUCCAUGCAGGAACUCCCCUGCCACACACCUGGCCUCAGAGGCUUUUCUGAACUGCAGAGGAAGAUUCCACAAUUCCUUUACUCCUGUAUCCCUCAGGACUCUAAGCCAGAACUACCUGGCCAAUGCCGCCAACUUCAGCCACUUCAGUUGGAACCUGUUCCCUUCUUGAAUUACAUUUGCAUAACAUUUUUUUCCCUGUUGCAGCUUUUUGCAGAAAAUUCCUUAGGCAUUUCCUUUUUACAAAUAGAAUUAGCUGUUGGUGGGGUCUUGCUCUGAGGACAACCCUCCCUUUAUUCCAUUUUUCCUCAGCUCUCAGCCCUCUCCUUAUCUCUUUCAGUACAAACAUUAAGCUUCACAGCACCUUGUCUCCUCCUCCACUGUCCAUUUUGUGCAUUUUCCUUUUGUCCUACUUGUUACCUUUCACUGCAGUCCUACAUAAGAAUGAUUACUAACAGUCAUGCAACAGAGUUAAUAUUACGCUGUCUUAAAAUCUGCUCUGCCAAUAAAAUUAGUCCAAAAAGUCUCAAUUUAGUUCCAGGAAGAUUUUUUAGAAUAAGGGCUGAAAGCAUCAAUAUUCUUUGCCAAAAUAUCAAAACAGGUUUCUAACACUUGGUAAUAUUGUUCUCUGAAACUUCUUGAACUGAGCAUCCAUAAUCCACAUGGAUCUCAGCACCACUGUUCUCCAUUCCUAUAAGAAUGGUCCACUUAACCUUGCUUACAGUACUCAACAGCUUUCCUAAUCCAAUGUCCCGUCUUCCAUAUUCAUCCCAAACCAGCAUGAUCAGGUCUGUCACAGUAACAUCCUAUUUCUCAGUUCCAUCUUUUGUUUUACUUACUUUUCUGUUUUCAUGACAAAAUGCCAUGACCAAGGCAACUUAUAAAAAAGAAAGUAUUUAAUUUUGGUCUCAUGGAUGCAGAGCAUCAGAGUCCAUGACCAUUAUGGGAAUGGGACAUGGCAGCAGACAGCAGGCAGCAGGCAUGGUGCUGGAGCAGCAGCUAAGACCUUAUAUUCAUAUCCCAAGUAGGGAGCAGUGAAGACUAAUUGGGAAUGGCCCCGGUUUUUGAAACCUCAAAGCCCACCCUCAAUGACACAUCUCUUCCAACAAGGCCACACCUUUCAAUCCUUCCCAUAUAGUUCUACCAACUGGGGACCAAAUAUUCAAGCAUAUGAACUUAUGGGUCACAUUAUCAUUAAACCACCACAGAAUCCCUUUUAACAGUCUAGCAACCAACCAGUCAUACAAAUAAAACAAUGAUAUGGAGAUUAGACCAGGCAGAGACAAAGUUAUAAGACCUGUAGAAUAGGAGAGAAAAUAUUAACAUAGAUCUAACUGAAGAUCUUCAAGGAGAAAAAGACAGAAACAGAGGCAACAGUUAAGAAAUAAUAUAUAUGAACUUGGCAAAACUGAGAAGAAACAUGGAUCCAUAAAUCCUAUAGGUUCAAUAUUACUUAGGCUCAGGCUUAGAUUAGAUAAUAAAACACAUCUAUACUAAAUUCACCAAAGAUGACAAAGACAAGGGACAUAUUUAGUGAAGUCAGAGAAGGAAGCAUUCACUUACAAAAUAGGGCAGACAAGACAGUUCAGUUCAGGAACUUGUAGUGCUGGCCUGUUGACUCAUGGUCAGUGUCUGGAACCCAUAUAAAGGUAGCAGGAGAGAACUGACUCCACAGAGGGAUCCUUUUACCUCCCCACAAGUGCUGUGGCACACACGAUUGCACACACACACAACACACACAAAACACAAAGUAGUCACACACAUGCAUGUGUGCACACACAAGCACACCCAUAAUCACACACAUACAUAACCGCACACAUAUACACAAGUAAUUGAUUUAAAACAUAAUAGUAAAAGAAAAAUUUAGCAUUUUCUUAGAGUGUCCAUUGCUAUGAAAAGACACCGUGAACAAGGCAACUCAUAAUAAAACAUUUAAUUAGGGCUGGCUUACAGUUUCAAAGGUUCAAUCAAUUAUCAUCUUGGCAGGAAGCAUGGGAACAUCCAGGCAGGCAUGACGCUGGCGAAGCUGAGAGUUCUACAUCUUGUUCCAAAGACAAAUAGGAGAAGACUAGAAUCCAGGAAGCUAGGAGGAAGGUCCCUCAAAGUCCACUCAUAAAGUGACACACUUCCUCCAACAAGGCCAUACUUUCUAAUAGUGCCACUUCCUGGACCAAGCAUAUGUAAACCACCACAAGCAUCAAUAAUUGAAACUAGAAUUAUAAGGCAAAUAUUGUCAAAGUGUUGAAAGAAAGUAACUAUUAACUUGAAAAACUCUACUCUGGGGAAUCGUUCUUUAAGAAUUGGGUUUAUGUCCGGAGAGUUGACUUGUUGGUUAAAAGCAUUGACUGCUCUUCCAAAGGACCUAGGUUCAAUUUCCUGUACCCACAUGGUGGCUUACAAAUGUUUGUAAUUCCAGUUCCAGGGAUCUGACACCCUCUUCUGACCUCCAUAGGCAUUGGGCAUGCACAUGGUGCAUGUACAUACAUGUAGACAAAAUACAUACAAAAGUAAUAUCAUGAUAAUAAUAGGUUAUUAUUAGGUAUUAAUAUUAUUAUUAAUAUGUCACUGCUGGGCAGUGGUGAUGCACAUCUUUAAUACCAGCACUUAGGAGGCAGAGGGAGAUGGAUCUUUGAGUUAGAGGCCAGUCUGGCCUACAGAAUGAGUUCCAGGACAGCCAGGGCUACACAGAGAAACCUGUCUC
This 2794-nucleotide long non-coding RNA is filed under the name Mus musculus (house mouse). RNAcentral's name for it is "long non-coding RNA chr9:123644193-123646987". The record is from RNAcentral. Lineage: Eukaryota; Metazoa; Chordata; Mammalia; Rodentia; Muridae.